Molecule: ribosomal RNA, 1377 nt
Rfam family: Eukaryotic small subunit ribosomal RNA
AGGCAGCAGGCACGCAAAUUACCCACUCCCAGCACGGGGAGGUAGUGACAAAAAAUAACGAUACGGGACUCAUUUGAGGCCCCGUAAUCGGAAUGAGUACACUUUAAAUCCUUUAACAAGGAUCCAUUGGAGGGCAAGUUCGGUGCCAGCAGCCGCGGUAAUUCCGACUCCAAUAGCGUAUAUUAAAGUUGUUGCGGUUAAAAAGCUCGUAGUUGGUUCUGCGUGCCACGCUGUCGGUUCACCGCCUGCCGGUGCUACUGGCAUGCCGUGGUAUGUCCUGUCGGUGGGUGUUCGGGGCCCCGUGCGGGCGGCAGGAGGCCGGGUUCGCUCGCGUUCCUCUCUGCACGUCGGCGGGUCCACUCCGGCUCCCUACUAUCCUACCUAGGUGCUCUUCACCGAGUGUCGAGGUAGGCCGACACGUUUACUUUGAACAAAUCAGAGUGCUCAAAGCAGGCUGAAUAAUUCUGCCUGAAUGAUGGCGCAUGGAAUAAUAAAACAGGACCUUGGUUCUAUUUUGUUGGUUCUUAAGAUCACAAGGUAAUGAUCAAUACGGACAGGCGGGGGCAUUCGUAUUGCGGGGUUAGAGGUGAAAUUCUUGGAUCCUCGCAAGACGACCGAGAGCGAAAGCAUUUGCCAAGUAUGUCUCGAUUGAUCAAGAACGAAAGUUAGAGGUUCGAAGGCGAUCAGAUACCGCCCUAGUUCUAACCAUAAACGAUGCCAGCCAGCGAUCCGCCGAUGUUCCUCCGAUGACUCGGCGGGGAGCUUUUCCCCGGGAAACCAAAGCUUUUGGGUUCCGGGGGAAGUAUGGUUGCAAAGCUGAAACUUAAAGGAAUUGACGGAAGGGCACCACCAGGAGUGGAGCCUGCGGCUUAAUUUGACUCAACACGGGAAACCUCACCAGGUCAGGACAUUGUCAGGAUUGACAGAUUGAUAGCUCUUUCUUGAUUCAGUGGGUAGUGGUGCAUGGCCGUUCUUAGUUGGUGGAUCGAUUUGUCUGGUUAAUUCCGAUAACGAACGAGACUCUAGCCUAUUAACUAGACGGUUCAGGAGCCCACGUCUCCUGCGAAGUUCAMUCUUCUUAAGGGGACAGGCGGCUUAUAGUCGCACGAGUAUUGAGCAAUAACAGGUCUGUGAUGCCCUUAGAUGUCCUGGGCCGCACGCGCGCUACAAUGAAAGAAUCAGCGUGUGUCUCCCAGCCCGAGAGGGCCGGGUAAUCCGCUGAACCUCUUUCGUGCUUGGGAUUGURGCUUGCAAWUGUUCUUCAUGAACGAGGAAUUCCCAGUAAGCGCGAGUCAUAAGCUCGCGUUGAUUACGUCCCUGCCCUUUGUACACACCUCCCGUCGCUACUACCGAUUGAAUGAUUUAGUGAGGUCUUCG